UGGAUCAUUAUGGCAAACUAGUGUGAGGAGCCGGUAUAUAAGGGUUAUGAAACCCUAACCCUAGUCUUAUUGUUCAGCCGUCACCUCCCCUUUGUGACUCUCACCAGAGCCACCUCCCCACCGCCACCUUCCACCCCGUCGUUUUCCAACCGCCGAGCACCAUCGAUUGUUGUUGAUAACCUCCUGAGUUGAAAGCGCAGCUGCAUCAGCGAAGAUCAAAGGCGUGGCAUCGUGGUGGUCGCCAUUCGUGCUCCUCCCUCACCUUCUUUCCUACGCCGCCAGUCAUCGAAGAUGCGCCCAUCGUCGGACGUUGUGACCUCUCUUGCCUGAAAAGCGGGCUAUAGAGGAGCCACUUUCGCCAUCUCUUUGUCUUCACUUCUUUGCUGUAACUACCGCCUGCCGCCUUUGUUGCUGCUUGCGUUGGAACCAACGGAAAUCGCCGCCACCGCCACCUCACGGUCGUGGCUGCCAUCUCAGAAUUGUUGUUGUCGUUGCCAGGAGCCACCAGGUGCUUUGUUUCAAAGGAAAGGAGUCGGCUUGAUCGCAGCGCAUCACACUAUGUUUUCCGCACAUGAGAUCUUUGGGGAUUACACUCUGAUAUGGUUUUAUGAUAAUAUGUUUUGAUUACUAACACUUUGGUUUGACACGAGAUAUUACUAUGAAUGUUUUUAUACUGAUGGUUUUAUGUAAUAACUUAUUUAAAAA
This is a long non-coding RNA of Lactuca sativa (garden lettuce), 705 nucleotides long. RefSeq lists it as uncharacterized. NCBI's taxonomy places the organism in Eukaryota, Viridiplantae, Streptophyta, Magnoliopsida, Asterales, Asteraceae. The record is from RefSeq and is a predicted model, not a curated record.